CAGUCGCCGCGGUAAUACGAAGGGGGCUAGCGUUGUUCGGAUUUACUGGGCGUAAAGGGUGCGUAGGCGGACUGAUAAGUCAGGGGUGAAAUCCCAAGGCUCAACCUUGGAACUGCCUUUGAUACUGUUAGUCUUGAGUUCGAGAGAGGUGAGUGGAACUGCGAGUGUAGAGGUGAAAUUCGUAGAUAUUCGCAAGAACACCAGUGGCGAAGGCGGCUCACUGGCUCGAAACUGACGCUGAGGCACGAAAGCGUGGGGAGCAAACAGGAUUAGAUACCCCCGUAGUCCCUGUCUCUUAUAC
This 301-nucleotide ribosomal RNA is filed under the name uncultured bacterium. RNAcentral's name for it is "partial 16S ribosomal RNA". It matches the Rfam family "Bacterial small subunit ribosomal RNA", at positions 509 to 807 of the family's 1533-position model. The record is from RNAcentral.